AGCAGUGGGGAAUUUUGGACAAUGGGCGAAAGCCUGAUCCAGCAAUGCCGCGUGCAGGAUGAAGGCCCUCGGGUUGUAAACUGCUUUUGUACGGAACGAAAAGCCUGGGGCUAAUAUCCCCGGGUCAUGACGGUACCGUAAGAAUAAGCACCGGCUAACUACGUGCCAGCAGCCGCGGUAAUACGUAGGGUGCAAGCGUUAAUCGGAAUUACUGGGCGUAAAGCGUGCGCAGGCGGUUUUGUAAGACAGUGGUGAAAUCCCCGGGCUCAACCUGGGAACUGCCAUUGUGACUGCAAGGCUAGAGUGCGGCAGAGGGGGAUGGAAUUCCGCGUGUAGCAGUGAAAUGCGUAGAUAUGCGGAGGAACACCGAUGGCGAAGGCAAUCCCCUGGGCCUGCACUGACGCUCAUGCACGAAAGCGUGGGGAGCAAACAGGAUUAGAUACCCUGGUAGUCCACGCCCUAAACGAUGUCAACUGGUUGUUGGGUCUUAACUGACUCAGUAACGAAGCUAACGCGUGAAGUGACCGCCUGG
RNAcentral lists this ribosomal RNA (532 nucleotides) under uncultured Comamonas sp. RNAcentral's name for it is "bacterial SSU rRNA". It matches the Rfam family "Bacterial small subunit ribosomal RNA", at positions 350 to 876 of the family's 1533-position model. The record is from RNAcentral. Lineage: Bacteria; Pseudomonadati; Pseudomonadota; Betaproteobacteria; Burkholderiales; Comamonadaceae.